GAUGAACGCUGACAGAAUGCUUAACACAUGCAAGUCUUUGGCGAAGCUGUGCUCGCACAGCCUAGCCAGGGCGGACGGGUGAGUAACGCGUAAGGAACUUGCCCUGCAGUCAGGGAUAACAGACGGAAACGACUGAUAAGACCUGGUAAAGUCAGGCGGACUCAUGUCCAGCCUGAUGAAAAGAGAUGCUGCAGGAGAGCCUUGCGUCCUAUUAGCUUGUUGGUGGGGUAACGGCCCACCAAGGCGAUGAUAGGUAGCCGGCCUGAGAGGGUGGACGGCCACAAGGGGACUGAGAUACGGCCCUUACUCCUACGGGAGGCAGCAGUGGGGAAUAUUGGACAAUGGGGGCAACCCUGAUCCAGCAAUUCUGUGUGCACGAUGAAGGUUUUCGGAUUGUAAAGUGCUUUCAGCAGGGAAGAAAAAAAUGACGGUACCUGCAGAAGAAGCGACGGCUAAAUACGUG
This 463-nucleotide ribosomal RNA is filed under the name uncultured bacterium. Its description in RNAcentral is "partial 16S ribosomal RNA". It matches the Rfam family "Bacterial small subunit ribosomal RNA", at positions 28 to 507 of the family's 1533-position model. The record is from RNAcentral.